Molecule: non-coding RNA, 110 nt
Organism: Xanthomonas campestris
Lineage: Bacteria; Pseudomonadati; Pseudomonadota; Gammaproteobacteria; Lysobacterales; Lysobacteraceae
Source: Rfam
ACCAGCUGUGCAGCCCUAGAGCAUCUAGGCAGCUUAAAGGGUGCAGGCAUCCGCAGUUGGACCACAUUCGCUCACCGACAGACACCGCGCACCGCGCGGUGUCUUCGUUU